UUCCUUGUCGGGUAAGUUCCGACCUGCACGAAUGGUGUAACCAUGGCCACGCUGUCUCCACCCGAGACUCAGUGAAAUUGAAAUCGCAGUGAAGAUGCUGUGUACCCGCGGCUAGACGGAAAGACCCCGUGAACCUUUACUACAGCUUGGCACUGAACAUUGAACCUACAUGUGUAGGAUAGGUGGGAGACUUUGAAGCAGCGACGCUAGUU
This 212-nucleotide ribosomal RNA is filed under the name Chaetoceros dichaeta. RNAcentral's name for it is "partial Bacterial large subunit ribosomal RNA". It matches the Rfam family "Bacterial large subunit ribosomal RNA", at positions 1965 to 2176 of the family's 2925-position model. The record is from RNAcentral. Lineage: Eukaryota; Bacillariophyta; Thalassiosirophyceae; Chaetocerotales; Chaetocerotaceae.